This 292-nucleotide ribosomal RNA is filed under the name uncultured bacterium. Its description in RNAcentral is "partial 16S ribosomal RNA". It matches the Rfam family "Bacterial small subunit ribosomal RNA", at positions 505 to 796 of the family's 1533-position model. The record is from RNAcentral.
GUGUCAGCAGCCGCGGUAAUACGUAGGUGGCAAGCGUUGUCCGGAUUUAUUGGGUUUAAAGGGUGCGUAGGCGGUCCUGUAAGUCAGUUGUGAAAUACGGCAGCUUAACUGUCGAGGUGCAAUUGAUACUGCGGGACUAGAGUACUGAUGAGGUAAGCGGAAUGGACGGUGUAGCGGUGAAAUGCUUAGAUAUCGUCCAGAACACCGAUAGCGAAGGCAGCUUACUAAGGAGUAACUGACGCUGAGGCACGAAAGUGUGGGGAUCAAACAGGAUUAGAUACCCGCGUAGUCC